RNAcentral lists this ribosomal RNA (486 nucleotides) under Selenomonas sputigena. Its description in RNAcentral is "bacterial SSU rRNA". It matches the Rfam family "Bacterial small subunit ribosomal RNA", at positions 28 to 494 of the family's 1533-position model. The record is from RNAcentral. Lineage: Bacteria; Bacillati; Bacillota; Negativicutes; Selenomonadales; Selenomonadaceae.
GACGAACGCUGGCGGCGUGCUUAACACAUGCAAGUCGAACGGGAACCUUUAUUUCGGUAAAGGUGAGAGUGGCAAACGGGUGAGUAACACGUAGGCAACCUGCCGACAGGAUGGGGACAACAUUCCGAAAGGAAUGCUAAUACCGAAUGAAGUCACCGGAGGGCAUCCUCUGGUGAUGAAAGAUGGCCUCUGAAUAUGCUAUCGCCUGUCGAUGGGCCUGCGUCUGAUUAGCCAGUUGGCGGGGUAACGGCCCACCAAAGCGACGAUCAGUAGCCGGUCUGAGAGGAUGAACGGCCACAUUGGGACUGAGACACGGCCCAGACUCCUACGGGAGGCAGCAGUGGGGAAUCUUCCACAAUGGGCGAAAGCCUGAUGGAGCAACGCCGCGUGAGUGAAGAAGGUCUUCGGAUCGUAAAGCUCUGUUGCACGGGACGAAAACCGAGCUUGAAAACAUUGAGUUUGGGGACGUACCGAGCGAGGAGCCAC